Molecule: long non-coding RNA, 1767 nt
Organism: Ostrinia furnacalis (Asian corn borer)
Lineage: Eukaryota; Metazoa; Arthropoda; Insecta; Lepidoptera; Crambidae
Exons: 5
Source: RefSeq, a predicted model, not a curated record
UAGUGACGGAUUCAGGGGAUUAUAUGAAGAUAUAUUCUUAGCAAAUUAGAACAUGUCAUAAAAAAUACGCAGCAUUACAUACAGUUUAUGCUUUAGUUUAAUAGGUCAAUGUAAAUAAAUAUGAUUUGAUUAUAUUGCGUUUUAAUUGAAUUAUAAUCGAGGCAUUCUUAACAGUCAUAGCCUUCUAUUUUAAUUACAAUUUUGGAGGAGUAGCUUGGAAGAAAUAACAGUGGUUUAAUUAUUAUUAAGAUAUUUAGGAAGAUUUUACCAAAUCAAUAUACAAUUCCGUCAAUAUUUCAUCAUUUUAAAUAAAAAAAAUAUGAAUUAUCAUUCCAGAGCCAUCGUACCGGUUCAUUCCCUCCUCCUCCAAAGGCAAACCUUUACUGAUGAUGAAUGGGUUCACAUAUUCACAGCGAGAUCAGUCCCGGAACUACUACUGUUCAAAGAAAGAUACCGGUUGUAAAGCGAAAGUAAAACUUAAUGCAGAAGGAGCAAUAAAAGAAGCCAUUUGCAACCACAUUCAUCCUCCUCCAAGAUAUUUAGUGACGAAAACAGGAAAUUAUGUGAAGUUGUGAAUUUACAUAUAUUUUAGCUGUAGGCUGUGCAAAAGUAACAAUCGUACCGGUUCAUUCUCUCGUCUAAAGGCAAACCAUUAUUGAUGAUGAACGGGUUCACAUAUUCCCGACAAGCUCAGACCCUGAACUACUACUGUUCAAAGAAAAACAACGGUUGUAGAGCAAGAAUAAAACUAACUGCAGGAGGAGCGAUAAAAGACGCCAUUUGCAACCACAUUCAUCCUCCACCAAAAUAUCUAGUGACGAAAGCAGGGGAUUAUGUGAAGUUGUGAAGUUACAUACAUUUUGGACCCAUUCUCUAUUUCAUUGUGCUCUGACAGGGUAUCGAAGACUGCUAACUUUGUUUGGACACUAAUCCAUAUCCAUAGUUCUGAAAAUAUGUGCUACAGAGUACAGACAAGUGUAGUGUAAAAUAAAAUAUCGUGAUUCAAACAAAUGUUUUUGAAUUCAAAUUAGUUUAACGUAAAAGGACAGUGGUACACAAUGAUACAGACUUCUAAAGGAACCCAGCUGCUGAUGAUGAACGGAUUUACUUAUCGCAAGGAUAAUAGAAGCAGGAACUAUUACUGCUCGAGGAGGAUGAGAGCGGGAUGCAGGGCUCGCGUGAAGUUGUCCGAAGAAGGGAACGUGUUUCAGGAAAAAUGUCAUACAAGUUCAUCCCGUCAAGUAAAGGCAAGCCACUGCUGAUGAUGAACGGGUUUACAUACUCACAAAAUGCAAGCUCUCUGAACUAUUACUGUUCCAAGAAGAAUGCUGGGUGUAAAGCAAAAAUAAAAUUGAAUAAAGAUGGAGCCAUAAAAGAAGCCAAUUGCAGCCAUUUUCAUGCACCGCCAAAAUAUAUAGUGACACAUGAAGGAAAUUAUAUUAAAUUGAGUUAAAAUAACAAAAAAACUGGCCAAGUACGUGUCGUGGCACGCGCAGUGUAGGGUUCCUUUCAGGAAAAAUGUCGUACAAGUUCAUCCCCUCAAGUAAAGGCAAGCCACUGCUGAUGAUGAAUGGGUUUACAUACUCACAAAAUGCAAGCUCUCUGAACUAUUACUGUUCCAAGAAGGAUGCCGGGUGUAAAGCAAAAAUAAGAUUGAGUAAAGACGGAACAAUAAAAGAAGCUAAUUGCAGCCAUUUUCAUGCACCGCCAAAAUAUUUGGUGACACAUGCAGGAAAUUAUAUUAAAUUGAGUUAAAAUGACAAAAAA